CCUACGGGAGACAGCAGUGAGGAAUAUUGGUCAAUGGACGAGAGUCUGAACCAGCCAAGUAGCGUGAAGGAUGACUGCCCUAUGGGUUGUAAACUUCUUUUAUAUGGGAAUAAAAUGUUCCACGUGUGGGAUUUUGUAUGUACCAUAUGAAUAAGGAUCGGCUAACUCCGUGCCAGCAGCCGCGGUAAUACGGAGGAUCCGAGCGUUAUCCGGAUUUAUUGGGUUUAAAGGGAGCGUAGGUGGAUUGUUAAGUCAGUUGUGAAAGUUUGCGGCUCAACCGUAAAAUUGCAGUUGAAACUGGCGGUCUUGAGUACAGUAGAGGUGGGCGGAAUUCGUGGUGUAGCGGUGAAAUGCUUAGAUAUCACGAAGAACUCCGAUUGCGAAGGCAGCUCACUGGACUGCAACUGACACUGAGGCUCGAAAGUGUGGGUAUCAAACAGGAUUAGAUACCCCAGUAGUC
Molecule: ribosomal RNA, 460 nt
Filed under: uncultured bacterium
Lineage: Bacteria
Description: partial 16S ribosomal RNA
Rfam family: Bacterial small subunit ribosomal RNA
Source: RNAcentral